RNAcentral lists this ribosomal RNA (3071 nucleotides) under Campylobacter jejuni. RNAcentral describes it as "23S ribosomal RNA". It matches the Rfam family "Bacterial large subunit ribosomal RNA". Lineage: Bacteria; Pseudomonadati; Campylobacterota; Epsilonproteobacteria; Campylobacterales; Campylobacteraceae. The record is from RNAcentral.
AAAAAAGGUAAGCUACUAAGAGCGAAUGGUGGAUGCCUUGACUGGUAAAGGCGAUGAAGGACGUACUAGACUGCGAUAAGCUACGGGGAGCUGUCAAGAAGCUUUGAUCCGUAGAUUUCCGAAUGGGGCAACCCAAUGUAUAGAGAUAUACAUUACCUAUAUAGGAGCGAACGAGGGGAAUUGAAACAUCUUAGUACCCUCAGGAAAAGAAAUCAAUAGAGAUUGCGUCAGUAGCGGCGAGCGAAAGCGCAAGAGGGCAAACCCAGUGCUUGCACUGGGGGUUGUAGGACUGCAAUGUGCAAGAGGUAAGUUUAGCAGAACAUUCUGGAAAGUAUAACCAUAGAGGGUGAUAGUCCCGUAUGCGAAAAACAAACCUUAGCUAGCAGUAUCCUGAGUAGGGCGGGACACGAGGAAUCCUGUCUGAAUCCGGGUCGACCACGAUCCAACCCUAAAUACUAAUACCAGAUCGAUAGUGCACAAGUACCGUGAGGGAAAGGUGAAAAGAACUGAGGUGAUCAGAGUGAAAUAGAACCUGAAACCAUUUGCUUACAAUCAUUCAGAGCCCUAUGUAGCAAUACAGGGUGAUGGACUGCCUUUUGCAUAAUGAGCCUGCGAGUUGUGGUGUCUGGCAAGGUUAAGCAAACGCGAAGCCGUAGCGAAAGCGAGUCUGAAUAGGGCGCUUAGUCAGAUGCUGCAGACCCGAAACGAAGUGAUCUAUCCAUGAGCAAGUUGAAGCUAGUGUAAGAACUAGUGGAGGACUGAACCCAUAGGCGUUGAAAAGCCCCGGGAUGACUUGUGGAUAGGGGUGAAAGGCCAAUCAAACUUCGUGAUAGCUGGUUCUCUCCGAAAUAUAUUUAGGUAUAGCGUUGUGUCGUAAUAUAAGGGGGUAGAGCACUGAAUGGGCUAGGGCAUACACCAAUGUACCAAACCCUAUCAAACUCCGAAUACCUUAUAUGUAAUCACAGCAGUCAGGCGGCGAGUGAUAAAAUCCGUCGUCAAGAGGGAAACAACCCAGACUACCAGCUAAGGUCCCUAAAUCUUACUUAAGUGGAAAACGAUGUGAAGUUACUUAAACAACCAGGAGGUUGGCUUAGAAGCAGCCAUCCUUUAAAGAAAGCGUAAUAGCUCACUGGUCUAGUGAUUUUGCGCGGAAAAUAUAACGGGGCUAAAGUAAGUACCGAAGCUGUAGACUUGCACACAACUUAGAUUAUUUAAGUUUAGAAUAUGAGAAACUAAGUUAUAUGUUUAGUUAUAUUUUUACUGAUUUUUAUAGAGUAAAGAUAGAAAUAAAACUUAGUAAAAUCAGUAAAAAUAUUCUUAGACUAAAGUUAAGUAGUUUAAGUUGUGUGCAAGUGGUAGGAGAGCGUUCUAUUUGCGUCGAAGGUAUACCGGUAAGGAGUGCUGGAGCGAAUAGAAGUGAGCAUGCAGGCAUGAGUAGCGAUAAUUAAUGUGAGAAUCAUUAACGCCGUAAACCCAAGGUUUCCUACGCGAUGCUCGUCAUCGUAGGGUUAGUCGGGUCCUAAGUCGAGUCCGAAAGGGGUAGACGAUGGCAAAUUGGUUAAUAUUCCAAUACCAACAUUAGUGUGCGAUGGAAGGACGCUUAGGGCUAAGGGGGCUAGCGGAUGGAAGUGCUAGUCUAAGGUCGUAGGAGGUUAUACAGGCAAAUCCGUAUAACAAUACUCCGAGAACUGAAAGGCUUUUUGAAGUCUUCGGAUGGAUAGAAGAACCCCUGAUGCCGUCGAGCCAAGAAAAGUUUCUAAGUUUAGCUAAUGUUGCCCGUACCGUAAACCGACACAGGUGGGUGGGAUGAAUAUUCUAAGGCGCGUGGAAGAACUCUCUUUAAGGAACUCUGCAAAAUAGCACCGUAUCUUCGGUAUAAGGUGUGGUUAGCUUUGUAUUAGGAUUUACUCCGAAAGCAAGGAAACUUACAACAAAGAGUCCCUCCCGACUGUUUACCAAAAACACAGCACUCUGCUAACUCGUAAGAGGAUGUAUAGGGUGUGACGCCUGCCCGGUGCUCGAAGGUUAAUUGAUGGGGUUAGCAUUAGCGAAGCUCUUGAUCGAAGCCCGAGUAAACGGCGGCCGUAACUAUAACGGUCCUAAGGUAGCGAAAUUCCUUGUCGGUUAAAUACCGACCUGCAUGAAUGGCGUAACGAGAUGGGAGCUGUCUCAAAGAGGGAUCCAGUGAAAUUGUAGUGGAGGUGAAAAUUCCUCCUACCCGCGGCAAGACGGAAAGACCCCGUGGACCUUUACUACAGCUUGACACUGCUACUUGGAUAAGAAUGUGCAGGAUAGGUGGGAGGCUUUGAGUAUAUGACGCCAGUUGUAUAUGAGCCAUUGUUGAGAUACCACUCUUUCUUAUUUGGGUAGCUAACCAGCUUGAGUUAUCCUCAAGUGGGACAAUGUCUGGUGGGUAGUUUGACUGGGGCGGUCGCCUCCCAAAUAAUAACGGAGGCUUACAAAGGUUGGCUCAGAACGGUUGGAAAUCGUUCGUAGAGUAUAAAGGUAUAAGCCAGCUUAACUGCAAGACAUACAAGUCAAGCAGAGACGAAAGUCGGUCUUAGUGAUCCGGUGGUUCUGUGUGGAAGGGCCAUCGCUCAAAGGAUAAAAGGUACCCCGGGGAUAACAGGCUGAUCUCCCCCAAGAGCUCACAUCGACGGGGAGGUUUGGCACCUCGAUGUCGGCUCAUCGCAUCCUGGGGCUGGAGCAGGUCCCAAGGGUAUGGCUGUUCGCCAUUUAAAGCGGUACGCGAGCUGGGUUCAGAACGUCGUGAGACAGUUCGGUCCCUAUCUGCCGUGGGCGUAAGAAGAUUGAAGAGAUUUGACCCUAGUACGAGAGGACCGGGUUGAACAAACCACUGGUGUAGCUGUUGUUCUGCCAAGAGCAUCGCAGCGUAGCUAAGUUUGGAAAGGAUAAACGCUGAAAGCAUCUAAGCGUGAAGCCAACUCUAAGAUGAAUCUUCUCUAAGCUCUCUAGAAGACUACUAGUUUGAUAGGCUGGGUGUGUAAUGGAUGAAAGUCCUUUAGCUGACCAGUACUAAUAGAGCGUUUGGCUUAUCUUUAAUAAAGCAU